UAGGGAAUCUUCGGCAAUGGGGGCAACCCUGACCGAGCAACGCCGCGUGAGUGAAGAAGGUUUUCGGAUCGUAAAGCUCUGUUGUAAGUCAAGAACGAGUGUGAGAGUGGAAAGUUCACACUGUGACGGUAGCUUACCAGAAAGGGACGGCUAACUACGUGCCAGCAGCCGCGGUAAUACGUAGGUCCCGAGCGUUGUCCGGAUUUAUUGGGCGUAAAGCGAGCGCAGGCGGUUUGAUAAGUCUGAAGUUAAAGGCUGUGGCUCAACCAUAGUUCGCUUUGGAAACUGUCAAACUUGAGUGCAGAAGGGGAGAGUGGAAUUCCAUGUGUAGCGGUGAAAUGCGUAGAUAUAUGGAGGAACACCGGUGGCGAAAGCGGCUCUCUGGUCUGUAACUGACGCUGAGGCUCGAAAGCGUGGGGAGCGAACAGGAUUAGAUACCCUGGUAGUCCACGCCGUAACGAUGAGUGCUAGGUGUUGGAUCCUUUCCGGGAUUCAGUGCCGCAGCUAACGCAUUAAGCACUCCGCCUGGGGAGUACGACCGCAAGGUU
RNAcentral lists this ribosomal RNA (548 nucleotides) under uncultured bacterium. Its description in RNAcentral is "bacterial SSU rRNA". It matches the Rfam family "Bacterial small subunit ribosomal RNA", at positions 355 to 895 of the family's 1533-position model. The record is from RNAcentral.